This 1149-nucleotide long non-coding RNA is filed under the name Homo sapiens (human). RNAcentral describes it as "long intergenic non-protein coding RNA 1608". Lineage: Eukaryota; Metazoa; Chordata; Mammalia; Primates; Hominidae. The record is from RNAcentral.
UUCCUUACAGUCCCCUCUAAAGCAAUUAUUCUGUUCAAAAGAGGAUUUGUUUGUGAUAUUCCUUUAAGAAUCUUUAUUUAUUCCCCCAACAGUUUCUUUUUCUGCAUCCGCUGCUCUGUUAAGUGAUCACCACAUUCAUUGUUCUCGUUUCUAUUAUUUCUGAAAAAAAUCUUCAGGAUUCUGCUUGUGGGAGUGGAUGACAUUUUUACAGUGUUUACAGACACAAAAUGAACAAGAUGUCUGUGGCAACCCUCAGACCAUUGACGCCUUCUCUCCUAUGUAUCAAAUCACACAUUUGGACGUUGACUGAACCCUCACAUGUCAGAUGCUCAAUAUUGAGCUUUAUCUAUUCCAGAAUGUCAUAUAGCUGGUAUAAGAAAGAACACUAAUCAUUCCUAAGGAAGAAAAUUAACAACGCCGUGAGUUAUAAUAUCUGGCUGAAACUGAAGGAGCUCUGUGUAAUUAAAAGUCCUUUCUGCCCUGCCUGGCCAUGGUUCUGUAUGCAUUGAUGUCUUACAAACUGAAAAAAAAAAAAGUUAUUUUCUCAUCUCCAUUCCCUAGCAUAGACAUAUUACAUGAUGUGGAAUUGAAACAAGAAAAUUGCAUUUUAAUCUUCCACUCAGAACAUAGAAGAAUGAAACAAACAAACAAAAAAUACUCUGUUGUCUUAGUCUACCACAAGCAAAAUCUGGCAGUCUCUUUGCUUUGGUAAUGGCAUAAAUUCCUUGAUUAGCCUAUAGGAUAGCCCAUUGUUCUGCUCUUUUAGUGGAAUAGCUAGCAAUUGCUUUGUCAUUUUUUCCCCAUGGUUCCUACCAUUAGUGUUGGGAGGUUUCUUCUUUGUUUUUUUGAGAAAGAGGAAAAAGUUGUUAUAUUUUCAUAAAAACUUAAAUUUCAUCCAAAAUACUUGAUUUUCAUGAAGAAAGUAAAUAUCUCUGCCCCUAGUAUACAUGUGUGGAAACUUUCAGAACCCUGAAGAUAAAUACAUUUCAAACAAGUGAGUUUGAAAAUAUCAAUAGCAAAAUAGGAAGUAAGCUAAUUAGAGAGGUAAGAACUAGAUGGCUUAGCAUUCCAAUAAUAAUAUAUAACCUUCUUUAAGAGUAAAAUCUUGGUCAAAAGACAGAUGAAAACUCCAAUAAAAUUUCACAACUC